CAAAAUAAAAAUUAUAUUUGUCACAAUUAUUUAUUUUUGAAUUUAGUUUUAGUCAAGAUGUUCUGUGGCUUAAUAGCGAAAUGCUUGGCCAACUAAUUUUCAGCGGGUUCUCGAUUGUCUAAGCACCUUACGAUUGGUCAAUUGUGGAGGCAUUGACAUGAUUAACUGUUGACGGUGGAACUCGAUCCGGUAGGCUGUAGCUCUUACCCUCAACCAUGAUACAAAAAAAGGUAUUAAAGAAUUACACAGAAGCAAAAGCUUUUGGGGACUGCAAAUUAUAUGUAUUAAUUGGAGUGUUAUAUACACGUGGCGCUUAACAAGAAAUUUUCCAUGUUCCACCUCUGAAAUACGAAUUGGGGACCAACUUCUUUUCCGAAUGCAAUGAGUUUUAAUGUAUGUACGUCAGAAAAUUCGGCGCCGAAAAAUUUCCUUCAAGGCGUUAAUCAUCUUGGCUUUAACCCCAAAAAAUAGUACAGCGGUGUUAAAUCGCACUAUAUUCAAUUAAUUGGCAGUAUGACAUGAAGCACUCUUGUUUAAAUCAAAGAUCGUCCACAGCAACAUCCACCAAGUCAGGUCCGAAAAAGCCAUAAAUCACGGUUAUAAAGCGGUCUCCACUGGCUGUAGCAUUAUGGUCUGCUCUGAAAGUGACUUUUCAGGAUAUAGCGAAAAUCUCGUCUACUAACGUACCCAAUUAAACCAGAAGUAGGAUUCAUCGCUGAACAAAAUUUUCUGCAUCACAAGAAAAUCUGAAUAAUUCUUUUGAUAAUAAACUUGCGCGAUAUGCGAACGUGAUUGAGGAGUAACGUGGUUCAUUAUGAAAAGGCAAACUAAACUUAGUAUAAAUCAAGUAACAGCUGUCAAAAAGAACAAUUCCCAAAAAAUGGCUAAAAAAUUUAAUGUUAUCUUCUUUAACGAAAAGGAAUUUAAGCAAAAAAAUAUGGCAAUCAUUUUCAGAAACCUAUCUCUUCCGCGCAGUUGUUUGCGUUGAUAUUACAUUAUAUUAUAAUAUUUGGAAAUAGUCUCCUUACUGAAAUAUUAAGCUCGCUGGCUUUCGGCAGUUAGUCUCAUGGGAAAGGAAGAAGCUAAAAUUUCUCCCAGACUAAGGCAAAUAGAAGGAUAUAAAUUAACCAUAUAAAGAGAGAAAAAGAGAGAGGGUGAGGAAUAUUUACUACAUAUAUACAAGGAGUUGCUGACAGUUAUAAUACUUCAACAAGCAAAAUAAUAAUGUAGGAAAAGAAAUUUGAGUAGAUGAACGGCUUUCCGUCUUAAGGAGACUGUGACGAAUUGAUGCAGCAAAUUGUUCACGUGUUGUUUGUACUCCGCUUGGCAAAUAUGUAUAUAUGUACAUACAUACAAAGUACGCUUGCAGGAGUAUCUUUGCGAAAAUUUUCCAAAUCAAUUACCUAAAUUGAUAUGCCAUCGGCGUGUAAGAUGUGAUAAAUAUUGGUUGAUAAAAAUCAAUUACAUGAAGACAUCAAAUAUUUGCUCUAGAUAUUUAUGCUUGCUGUGAAUUAAGCCUUGAUGUAUAAAUAAUGCUUCUCAAUGGAGUUAAAAUACUAUUGCGCUGCUGGUGUUGAAAGCCAAACGAAUUUAAGGAAGUGUACCACGCACAAUUUUGGUUUCGUCGAUUUCGGUGCGGAAAUUCCGUUACAAAAUUUGUUCGACGGUGUGGAAGGUCAAUUGUAGA
Ceratitis capitata (Mediterranean fruit fly) is the source of this 1687-nucleotide long non-coding RNA. RefSeq lists it as uncharacterized. NCBI's taxonomy places the organism in Eukaryota, Metazoa, Arthropoda, Insecta, Diptera, Tephritidae. The transcript has 4 exons. The record is from RefSeq and is a predicted model, not a curated record.